Molecule: long non-coding RNA, 453 nt
Organism: Fundulus heteroclitus (mummichog)
Lineage: Eukaryota; Metazoa; Chordata; Actinopteri; Cyprinodontiformes; Fundulidae
Exons: 3
Source: RefSeq, a predicted model, not a curated record
UGCUAGCUAAGCUAAAUGUAGCCUAGCCUAAAACCAAAGCUAAGAGUAGCCUAGUAGCCUUGCAAAAGAACAAGCUUUAUUAAAGUGUAUUUUUUUGUCAUUUACAGGAAGCAGUAUGCCGUCUUCACAACUCGGAGACAAAUUGCAGGCGCUAUGAACAGGAGCGAGGCGGUGACCUCCUAUUUGCUCGGAGCAAUAUCUGCAAUUCCAGAUUUACACAAUGUUGAUAAAGACGAAAUUGUGUCCGCCUGUAAGACCUGUUAUGAGACGGUACGCAGGAGAGUACGCAGCCAGAAAACUCAUUGCGGGCGGAAGCUGCGAAGAGCUCAGCUCGGAGUCGAGCGAGAAGAAAGAGGCUGCUGGAAUCGAGACAGAGUGUGCUAGCAGAUGACGAGGUGGAACUCUGGAAUUCCGCCACCGUAAACCUCAUGUCUGACGAAGAAGAUGGCGUUG